Molecule: ribosomal RNA, 497 nt
Filed under: uncultured bacterium
Lineage: Bacteria
Description: partial 16S ribosomal RNA
Rfam family: Bacterial small subunit ribosomal RNA
Source: RNAcentral
GAUGAACGCUGGCGGCGUGCCUAAUACAUGCAAGUCGAGCGAACAGACGAGGAGCUUGCUCCUUUUACGUUAGCGGCGGACGGGUGAGUAACACGUAGGUAACCUACCUAUAAGACUGGGAUAACUUCGGGAAACCGGAGCUAAAACCGGAUAAUAUUUCGAACCGCAUGGUUCGAUAGUGAAAGAUGGCUUUGCUAACACUUAUAGAUGGACCUGCGCCGUAUUAGCUAGUUGGUAAGGUAACGGCUUACCAAGGCAACGAUACGUAGCCGACCUGAGAGGGUGAUCGGCCACACUGGAACUGAGACACGGUCCAGACUCCUACGGGAGGCAGCAGUAGGGAAUCUUCCGCAAUGGGCGAAAGCCUGACGGAGCAACGCCGCGUGAGUGAUGAAGGUCUUCGGAUCGUAAAACUCUGUUAUUAGGGAAGAACAAACGUGUAAGUAACUGUGCACGUCUUGACGGUACCUAAUCAGAAAGCCACGGCUAACUACGUG